UGGGGAAUAUUGCGCAAUGGGGGAAACCCUGACGCAGCAACGCCGCGUGAAGGAUGAAGGCUUUCGGGUUGUAAACUUCUUUGAUGAGGGACGAAAGAAAUGACGGUACCUCAAAAACAAGCCACGGCUAACUACGUGCCAGCAGCCGCGGUAAUACGUAGGUGGCGAGCGUUGUCCGGAAUUACUGGGUGUAAAGGGCGUGUAGGCGGGGAUGCAAGUCAGAUGUGAAAUGCCGGGGCUUAACUCCGGAGCUGCAUCUGAAACUGUGUUUCUUGAGUGUCGGAGAGGAAAGCGGAAUUCCCAGUGUAGCGGUGAAAUGCGUAGAUAUUGGGAGGAACACCAGUGGCGAAGGCGGCUUUCUGGACGAUAACUGACGCUGAGGCGCGAAAGCGUGGGGA
This 398-nucleotide ribosomal RNA is filed under the name uncultured bacterium. RNAcentral describes it as "bacterial SSU rRNA". It matches the Rfam family "Bacterial small subunit ribosomal RNA", at positions 355 to 767 of the family's 1533-position model. The record is from RNAcentral.